RNAcentral lists this transfer RNA (85 nucleotides) under Desulfuromonas sp. SDB. Its description in RNAcentral is "tRNA-Ser". It matches the Rfam family "tRNA". From Rfam's summary of the family: Transfer RNA (tRNA) molecules are approximately 80 nucleotides in length. Their secondary structure includes four short double-helical elements and three loops (D, anti-codon, and T loops). Lineage: Bacteria; Pseudomonadati; Thermodesulfobacteriota; Desulfuromonadia; Desulfuromonadales; Desulfuromonadaceae. The record is from RNAcentral. RNAcentral also lists the same sequence under 2 other names.
GGAGAGGUGUCCGAGUGGCCGAAGGAGCGCGACUCGAAAUCGCGUGGACGGCAACGUCCCGUGGGUUCGACUCCCACCCUCUCCG